RNAcentral lists this ribosomal RNA (309 nucleotides) under Triticum aestivum (bread wheat). RNAcentral's name for it is "partial small subunit ribosomal RNA". The record is from RNAcentral. Lineage: Eukaryota; Viridiplantae; Streptophyta; Magnoliopsida; Poales; Poaceae.
AUGGAGACGGUCGAUCAUUUGUUGCUAACCUAUCUCUUCUCCCGCACGGUGUGGUUCGAGGCGCUCUAGGUCUGGGGUUGUGGAGAUUGGGCGCCCUUUCAAGCCGAUCGCCUCAUGCCUUGGUGCUCAUCGAUGGCCGCGUCCCUGACGAACAAGAAGGACAUCAACACCUUCGCGGCUCUAGUUCUUUGGGAGACGUGGAAGCACCGCAACACGGUGGUUUUUGACGGUGCCACCCCCAUCUGUGCGGGAUGCCCUUCGCCAAAUUCUGCAGGUCGCGUCAGAAUGGGUUCAGGCAGGGUUCUUUAA